UUGAACACCAGCCCUGUGUUUGAGGCCCAUGUCCUCGUUAUGGUUUAAUUGUGGUCACCUGUGUAGAAAGGCGGACAGUGUGAGAUUCUCCCUUUUAAAACGUGCAUUCAUGUGUCUUUAGUCAUUCUGUAAACUUGCAUCCUGAACUCCAUCCAACAACUUUUCAAAAAAAUUUAUACUCCAAAGGAAACUCUACAGCUGUGUGUGAGGAAACCAGUCUGGCUGGAGCGACGCUCACAUACGAUUCCAUGGAAACCAAGGGCAUGGGAAGAUCUUUGAUCUGGGACAAGAUUCAGAAGUUUUAUGAGAAAAUUAAUAGAAGAGAAAGUCAUCUUAAAUCAACGUGCUGAUCUUGUGAUCUAAAGUAAGACAAUUAAAAUUGGCAAAAAAAAUGUAUAUUAUCACAAAGUCAUUCAAAACAGAUGAGUUUGUCUCUUGUGACCCUUUAAAUGGCAGUUUUAAUAUUUUUUUCUUUUAAGGUGCCCUUUUAAAUGGCUUCUUUUUCACUAAUGAUCUCCAUUUUUAAGAUGUAUUAAAAUGCCUGAGAAAUAUAAAAUGUUGUAAGUGCUUCUGAGACCA
Long non-coding RNA from Paramormyrops kingsleyae, 579 nucleotides. RefSeq lists it as uncharacterized. The record is from RefSeq and is a predicted model, not a curated record. Lineage: Eukaryota; Metazoa; Chordata; Actinopteri; Osteoglossiformes; Mormyridae.